UACGGAGGGUGCAAGCGUUAUCCGGAAUUAUUGGGCGUAAAGCGUCCGCAGGUGGCUGUGUAAGUCUGCUGUCAAAGAGCAAAGCUCAACUUUGUAAAGGCAGUGGAAACUACACGGCUAGAGUGCGUUCGGGGCAGAGGGAAUUCCUGGUGUAGCGGUGAAAUGCGUAGAGAUCAGGAAGAACACCGGUGACGAAGGCGCUCUGCUAGGCCGCAACUGACACUGAGGGACGAAAGCUAGGGGAGCGAAUGGG
This 253-nucleotide ribosomal RNA is filed under the name uncultured bacterium. RNAcentral describes it as "partial 16S ribosomal RNA". It matches the Rfam family "Bacterial small subunit ribosomal RNA", at positions 524 to 776 of the family's 1533-position model. The record is from RNAcentral.